This is a long non-coding RNA of Lingula anatina, 164 nucleotides long. Lineage: Eukaryota; Metazoa; Brachiopoda; Lingulata; Lingulida; Lingulidae. The record is from RefSeq and is a predicted model, not a curated record.
AUUAAGCUGAAAAUAGCGGUAAACUUGAUAUGACAGCAAUGAAGGUGUUUCAUUCCAUGUGAGCCUUCAUGUAAUGUCCAGGAUUGUAUAUUAUGAAGGCAUGGCUUAUUUUUCUAAGGUUACCCAUAUUCUCUUUGAAUAGGUAACUGAAUAUGCUUUAAAGA